GACGAACGCUGGCGGCGUGCUUAACACAUGCAAGUUGAACGAUGAAGCCGGAGCUUGCUCUGGUGAAUUAGUGGCGAACGGGUGAGUAACACGUGAGUAACCUGCCCUUGACUCUGGGAUAACUGCGGGAAACUGUAGCUAAUACCGGAUACGACCAUCGGAGGCAUCUCCUGGGGGUGGAAAGAAUUUCGGUCAAGGAUGGACUCGCGGCCUAUCAGCUAGUUGGUGAGGUAAAGGCUCACCAAGGCGACGACGGGUAGCCGGCCUGAGAGGGUGACCGGCCACACUGGGACUGAGACACGGCCCAGACUCCUACGGGAGGCAGCAGUGGGGAAUAUUGCACAAUGGGCGCAAGCCUGAUGCAGCAACGCCGCGUGAGGGAUGACGGCCUUCGGGUUGUAAACCUCUUUUAGUAGGGAAGAAGCGAAAGUGACGGUACCUGCAGAAAAAGCACCGGCUAACUACGUGCCAGCCGCCGCCGUAA
This 484-nucleotide ribosomal RNA is filed under the name uncultured bacterium. RNAcentral describes it as "partial 16S ribosomal RNA". It matches the Rfam family "Bacterial small subunit ribosomal RNA", at positions 28 to 523 of the family's 1533-position model. The record is from RNAcentral.